GCCGACGGACGCGAGCAGAAGCCGAAAAAAAAGAGGCAGCAGAAUCAUGGGCCGCGCAGCGGCGCAAAGAAAAAUUUUCGGCGCCACUUUUUCUUGGCCCUUGUCGUGGGGUGCGGCUCGGGGCCUCGCACGCGAGCGACAGCCCGCGGCACGAGGAUACCGUAUAUCGACAACAACGCGGACCUUUUCGCAAAAAGGUCAAAGUUGACGCGGACCCGCUGACGGGCAACGCAAAAAGGCAAUGCGGUCCAUAAUGGCGCAAGCGGCGGGCGAGAGUUUUGCGGUGAGGUCGCAAAAUCGCGGCAUGACGCGCGGGCAGCCCGGCCUGUACUUGCGCAGCAACGCGAUCUUUCUUCAAAAAAACGCAAGGAACCUGGAUAUAAUCAGACAAAAUACAGUAUAUAACCAAGCAUGGGCUUUUGAUAAUUCCCG
This 432-nucleotide long non-coding RNA is filed under the name Pandoravirus dulcis. RNAcentral describes it as "putative ncRNA". The record is from RNAcentral.